UCUCCAAGACCAGGCUUCUCACCCAUUAAGUGGGAUAAGGCCCCCCGCAGAACACGGGAUUGAUAGACCAGACCUAUAAGCACAGUAAUGUGCGCAGGGAACUGGCACUAACCGGCCGAAAACUUACACACAA
This 133-nucleotide ribosomal RNA is filed under the name Mycobacterium sp. RNAcentral's name for it is "partial 23S ribosomal RNA". It matches the Rfam family "Bacterial large subunit ribosomal RNA", at positions 2796 to 2925 of the family's 2925-position model. The record is from RNAcentral. Lineage: Bacteria; Bacillati; Actinomycetota; Actinomycetes; Mycobacteriales; Mycobacteriaceae.